GGGGCACUGCGGCGUGCCUAUACAUGCAGUCGAACGAACUCUGGUAUUGAUUGGUGCUUGCAUCAUGAUUUACAUUUGAGUGAGUGGCGAACUGGUGAGUAACACGUGGGAAACCUGCCCAGAAGCGGGGGAUAACACCUGGAAACAGAUGCUAAUACCGCAUAACAACUUGGACCGCAUGGUCCGAGUUUGAAAGAUGGCUUCGGCUAUCACUUUUGGAUGGUCCCGCGGCGUAUUAGCUAGAUGGUGAGGUAACGGCUCACCAUGGCAAUGAUACGUAGCCGACCUGAGAGGGUAAUCGGCCACAUUGGGACUGAGACACGGCCCAAACUCCUACGGGAGGCAGCAGUAGGGAAUCUUCCACAAUGGACGAAAGUCUGAUGGAGCAACGCCGCGUGAGUGAAGAAGGGUUUCGGCUCGUAAAACUCUGUUGUUAAAGAAGAACAUAUCUGAGAGUAACUGUUCAGGUAUUGACGGUAUUUAACCAGAAAGCCACGGCUAACUACGUGCCAGCAGCCGCGGUAAUACGUAGGUGGCAAGCGUUGUCCGGAUUUAUUGGGCGUAAAGCGAGCGCAGGCGGUUUUUUAAGUCUGAUGUGAAAGCCUUCGGCUCAACCGAAGAAGUGCAUCGGAAACUGGGAAACUUGAGUGCAGAAGAGGACAGUGGAACUCCAUGUGUAGCGGUGAAAUGCGUAGAUAUAUGGAAGAACACCAGUGGCGAAGGCGGCUGUCUGGUCUGUAACUGACGCUGAGGCUCGAAAGUAUGGGUAGCAAACAGGAUUAGAUACCCUGGUAGUCCAUACCGUAAACGAUGAAUGCUAAGUGUUGGGAGGGUUUCCGCCCUUCAGUGCUGCAGCUAACGCAUUAAGCAUUCCGCCUGGGGAGUACGGCCGCAAGGCUGAAACUCAAAGGAAUUGACGGGGGCCCGCACAAGCGGUGGAGCAUGUGGUUUAAUUCGAAGCUACGCGAAGAACCUUACCAGGUCUUGACAUACUAUGCAAAUCUAAGAGAUUAGACGUUCCCUUCGGGGACAUGGAUACAGGUGGUGCAUGGUUGUCCUCAGCUCGUGUCAUGAAAUGUUGGGUUAAGUCCCGCAACGAGCCCAACCCUUAUUAUCAUUUGCCAGCAUUAAAUUUGGCACCUCUGGUGAAACUGCCGGUACAAACCCGAAGAAAAGGUGGGGAUAAGGGCAAAUCUCCUCGCCCCUUAUAACCUGGGCUACACCCGGGGGGAAAGGG
RNAcentral lists this ribosomal RNA (1237 nucleotides) under Lactiplantibacillus argentoratensis. Its description in RNAcentral is "bacterial SSU rRNA". It matches the Rfam family "Bacterial small subunit ribosomal RNA", at positions 30 to 1233 of the family's 1533-position model. The record is from RNAcentral. Lineage: Bacteria; Bacillati; Bacillota; Bacilli; Lactobacillales; Lactobacillaceae.